RNAcentral lists this unclassified non-coding RNA (87 nucleotides) under Pseudomonas grimontii. Lineage: Bacteria; Pseudomonadati; Pseudomonadota; Gammaproteobacteria; Pseudomonadales; Pseudomonadaceae. The record is from RNAcentral.
GUGGGAGGGGGCUUGCCCCCGAUAGCAGUGGAUCAGCCAGCACAUAUUCAGCUGACACAUCGCAAUCGGGGGCAAGCCCCCUCCCAC